Molecule: small nuclear RNA, 117 nt
Organism: Balaenoptera musculus (blue whale)
Lineage: Eukaryota; Metazoa; Chordata; Mammalia; Artiodactyla; Balaenopteridae
Gene: U4
Rfam family: U4 spliceosomal RNA
About the family: U4 small nuclear RNA (U4 snRNA) is a component of the major U2-dependent spliceosome. The structure of U4 snRNA from yeast and human has been reported. U4 snRNA presents a k-turn RNA motif in the 5p-SL related to recognition of Snu13 protein.
Source: Ensembl
GGCUUUGUGCAGUGGCGGUAUCGUAGCCAAUGAUGUUUAUCCGAGGCGUGAUUAUUGCUAAUUGAAAACUUUUCCCAAAAAACAAUAGCAAAAAACAUUUAUAAUUUAUGUGUAUAG